Molecule: ribosomal RNA, 405 nt
Filed under: uncultured bacterium
Lineage: Bacteria
Description: partial 16S ribosomal RNA
Rfam family: Bacterial small subunit ribosomal RNA
Source: RNAcentral
AUUGAACGCUGGCGGCAGGCCUAACACAUGCAAGUCGAACGAGUGGCGGACGGGUGAGUAAUGUCUGGGAAACUGCCUGAUGGAGGGGGAUAACUACUGGAAACGGUAGCUAAUACCGCAUACCAUCAGCUGUGCCCAGAUGGGAUUAGCGUGUUGGUGGGGUAACGGCUCACCAAGGCGACGAUCCCUAGCUGGUCUGAGAGGUUGACGCGCCAAACUGGAACUGGAACACGGUCCAGAACCUUACGGAGGGCAGCGGUGGGGAAUAUUGCACAAGGGGGGCAAUCCGGAUGAGGCCAGCCAGCGUGUAGGAGGAAGGCCUUCGGGUGGUAAAGUACUUUCAGCGGGGAGGCGUUACCAGCAGAAGAAGCACGGGCAAACUCCGUGCAAGCGGCGGCGGUAAUA